RNAcentral lists this unclassified non-coding RNA (322 nucleotides) under Agaricales sp. Its description in RNAcentral is "partial contains 5.8S ribosomal RNA, internal transcribed spacer 2, and large subunit ribosomal RNA". Lineage: Eukaryota; Fungi; Basidiomycota; Agaricomycetes; Agaricales. The record is from RNAcentral.
CGCACCUUGCGCUCCUUGGUAUUCCGAGGAGCAUGCCUGUUUGAGUGUCAUUUGCUUCUCAAAUCAUGCAAGUGUGUUGCUGCCCUAGCACAACCACACUUCAUGGCUUGGAUAUGGGAUUCUGCUGGUUCUAAAUCAUGGUCCAGCUGUCCUGAAAUAUAUUAGCAAGGCUCUUGUUGCUAGUACUCAUGGUGUGAUAAAUAUCUAUGCCAAAGAGUGUAGCUUUUAAGGAUUGUCUGGCUUAUAACAGUCUCUUUGUAUGGGACAAAAUGCAUUCUGACCACUUGACCUCAAAUCAGGUAGGACUACCCGCUGAACUUAA